AGGAAAGCCUUUGGUAAAGGAGAAUGGGGAAUUAGGAAGUUUAUAAGAGAUAAUUGUUCCUGCUUGGUAGAAGUGACAUGGAAUCUUGGGAGGAAGGAGUUUGCUCAAGUUUACCCAGGGUGUUAGCCAAGACUGUGGAAGAGGCUGAGCUGAAGGCAGACGUUGGCCUGGUUAUUGUCUUUACAGAUCUGUGCUGACAUCAGGGUGCUGGAACUGACAGGUCCCCUGAGAUCUGACAUGCGCUCUUAUGAGUAGGUCGUUCUUGCUGCUUAGAAAGUGCCAGGAGCAGCCUUUUUCAGACCAGGAAAGUGAGACACAGGCAGGUGACUUGCUCAACAUCACCCAGAUAGUCAAGGAAGAAGUGUGACAAGAAAGGAGCAGUGUCUGUGAGGUCACAGAGGCCCUGGCUGGUCACGGAGGAAAACGUGGUUUGCAUCCUGCCCCAUGUCUGGAACUCAAUAGGUCCCACACCCCGAAGGCUGGCCUUGGACUCUCUAUUUUCCUGCCUCUGACGCCCAGGUGCUGGGAUUACAAGCACGCACCACCAUGUCCAUCUCUGUGAAGACAUUUCUUAAGGGACCGCUAUGGUCUCCCAGGAAAGAAGCAGGGGGUCUAGAAGGAGACUCAGAGACUACGUGGGAGCUUACGGCUGAGGUGCCUGGACAUGUGUGGAUGGAGUGUGGAUUAAUGAGAGAGACAUGAAAUGGCUUUUCUAAUCUUCAUUGCAAGAAGAAGCAUGCUAUUGACCCCUGGCGACCAACCUUCCCCCACCCCAGUGCUGGGGACUGAACUCAGAAGCCAGGUCUGAGCAAGCACUCCUCCACUGAGCCACACUCUGGCCCUUGCUCUCUCCUCUCCAAGGGGAGAGUUAAUGACUGGCUGGAGUCUUGUUGAAAACACAUGAAUGCCAUGCUCAGCUUUCCUGUGAGUUAUCAUCACAAAGACUGAGAGAACAGGAAUGAAAAUCACUUGCUUAUUGCCACUCGACGGUGCCAGAAUGCCACCUGACAGUGCCACAGUGCCACCAGAUGGUGCCAGAAUGCCACCUGAUGGUACCACAGUGCCACCUCAAAGUGCCAUAGCAGCAUCGAUUCCAGACCCCUUCCCCCACAUAUCCAACACCGAUGUUUUGAGGACAUCCCAAGCCCAUAGCACCAGAGUCUCUCACCUUGGGGUGGCAGUGUCCAGUGGCAGAGUCUCUGACACCCAAGUGAAGCGAGUUCUCUCACCUGUUCUGCAGCCUGAGUCCUCCCAAGGCUUUGAACAUCUUGGUGUUUGCUUGGGUCUGACCUCCUGGGGGCCAGCAGGGGUGCUCAGGGGGAAACUCCCUUGUGGUUCCCUUCACAGGGUUGGGUCUCUGUGCUAACAUUUGCUCUCAUUUGGUCACCAGGUCAUCCAGGAGAAAGAGACAACCAGGAGUUCAGCCCUUGACAAAGUUUUGUGUGUUGACAGAAAUGUGCUCAGUCAGUUUCUUGUUCUGGCUGUCUGCUGGAGAGCACUUCAUAAUCCCCCAUCAGGGUGGCAUGGAGCGUCACCAUGGCUGAACCAUCACCACCCAAUCAUUACUACCCAACCAACAACAACAACUCUGCCGCCAUAGCCCUCAUUGGAUCCACAGAUGGCGAAUAACCAGCCUAGGGUUAGUACAGAGGUUGGAACCUCAUGCCUGCUCAGCAUGGACUCCACCACUGACACCUUUGCUGCUCACAAAGCUCCAUGACUUCAGAGACACGGAGUCUCCGUGUCACUUGGAGACAGAGUUUUGAAGGACAGCAGAAUACUGCUGGGUACCGGCUCCAUAAGGGUCUCUUGGACUCCAGAUGGCUCAGUGGCUAACCUGAGUUUGAUCAGCCAUGAUGGGGGUGGAAAUGGCCCCAGGUGUCAGGCUUCUUGCUGGAUGUGGAGUCAGGGAUGCUGUGUGGGUGGGCUUGGAACUCAAGCCUGGAGGGCAAGGAAGCCACAGGGGAAACUGCCCCCUGCCACUCAAGGCCCCAACUUUUGACAGCCAAUGGGUCCAGUCUGGAAAAAAGCAGAUAGCCACCUGCCACGUGGACCUGCUGUAAUGUUUGACAGCUCUGGAUGGAGCUCUCAGAGGUGAAGUCCCGGCUCAUGUGGCUGUAAACCUUGGGAACUUGCUCCUGCCUUGGCCUCUGAACAGUUUGCAGCCACUAGAGGUGGAAGCGCCUAGCACUUCAGAGACCUGCUGCCCAGGAAGCCUGAGGAAGCCAAUUAGCCGCAGACUUGCCUGGCAAGGGAAGGCUCUUGGUUGGCAUCUGAUGCCCAGAGAACUUUGAGCUGUGGCAUUUUCAAAGCAGUAACCUCUCAUCAGCUACAGAGAGUUCAACUCGGUUCAUUUCAGUCCCUCACAGCAACCUAAGUUGUUUUACCAGUUUGAAGGUUGUUACCCCUGAAUCGGCAAUAAAAGCAUCUCAUAUUUGUA
Long non-coding RNA from Mesocricetus auratus (golden hamster), 2440 nucleotides. RefSeq lists it as uncharacterized. Lineage: Eukaryota; Metazoa; Chordata; Mammalia; Rodentia; Cricetidae. The record is from RefSeq and is a predicted model, not a curated record. The transcript is spliced from 5 exons.